GUGGGGAAUUUUGGACAAUGGGCGAAAGCCUGAUCCAGCCAUGCCGCGUGCAGGAUGAAGGCCUUCGGGUUGUAAACUGCUUUUGUACGGAACGAAAAGACUCUGGUUAAUACCUGGGGUCCAUGACGGUACCGUAAGAAUAAGCACCGGCUAACUACGUGCCAGCAGCCGCGGUAAUACGUAGGGUGCAAGCGUUAAUCGGAAUUACUGGGCGUAAAGCGUGCGCAGGCGGUUAUAUAAGACAGAUGUGAAAUCCCCGGGCUCAACCUGGGAACUGCAUUUGUGACUGUAUAGCUAGAGUACGGUAGAGGGGGAUGGAAUUCCGCGUGUAGCAGUGAAAUGCGUAGAUAUGCGGAGGAACACCGAUGGCGAAGGCAAUCCCCUGGACCUGUACUGACGCUCAUGCACGAAAGCGUGGGGAGCAAACAGGAUUAGAUACCCUGGUAGUCC
This 450-nucleotide ribosomal RNA is filed under the name uncultured bacterium. RNAcentral's name for it is "partial 16S ribosomal RNA". It matches the Rfam family "Bacterial small subunit ribosomal RNA", at positions 354 to 796 of the family's 1533-position model. The record is from RNAcentral.